AGCUAAACGUGGAGAAGAUCUUCUCAAGGCAGAGGAGCUUGCAGCAAAAUACCGCGCCACUGGAACUGCUCCAAAGAAAAUCCUUGGAAUAUUUUGAAGCAGCAAGUACCAGGUCUGCAUCGAUACUGAUUGGGAGUUGCAUUUUGUAAAGUUUGUGCAAUUGGAUUUUUUCUUCUUGUUAGAUUACAUUUGUGUGAUUAUAUAUUUUAGAACCAUUUAUUGUUUAUUGUUACGUGUGCAUAGUAAUGUAUUUCCAGUGUAUAUAGCAUCUGGACAAAAUUAACUUUGUGGGAUUGUUAUGGAAAAAAAAUAUGUUGAAGG
RNAcentral lists this unclassified non-coding RNA (321 nucleotides) under Hevea brasiliensis (rubber tree). Lineage: Eukaryota; Viridiplantae; Streptophyta; Magnoliopsida; Malpighiales; Euphorbiaceae. The record is from RNAcentral.